UAGCCACGGUAGUCGUGGCGACCAAGCAACCCGGCAACGCGAGUCAACAACAACAACCGCCCGGCCGACCCCCACCCCCACCCCCCAGGCCCGGCCCGGGGACCCCAGCACGUCCCGUCCCCUUCCCAACAUCGAUUCCGAGACCUCCGAAAAGCCUUUCCGCAGACAGAAGUGGGGAGAAGCGGAGAAGGUGCCAUGCGGGCCAGCGAGACAGUGUCGGAGGCCAGCCCCGGCUCCACCGCCAGCCAGACCGGCGUUCCUACUCAGGUGGUUCAGCAGGUGCAGGGCACCCAGCAGCGGCUGCUGGUCCAGACGAGCGUGCAGGCCAAGCCAGGCCACGUGUCGCCCCUCCAGCUGACCAACAUCCAAGUGCCCCAGCAGGUAAUGCUGCUGCACCUGGCCACCACCCUGGAAGGCUCCCUCAGGGUGGAGGACCAACCCCCUGUGGCAAGCGUGGAUCUGUCCUCACCAGGAUGGAGGGAAGAGUCCCCAUCCAGGGGCUGCCCUACCUCCUGGCUCUGGGCAGUCACCUCCCCAGGG
Molecule: small RNA, 540 nt
Filed under: Pan troglodytes (chimpanzee)
Lineage: Eukaryota; Metazoa; Chordata; Mammalia; Primates; Hominidae
Description: retained intron
Source: RNAcentral